RNAcentral lists this unclassified non-coding RNA (253 nucleotides) under uncultured delta proteobacterium. Its description in RNAcentral is "contains 16S-23S intergenic spacer region". It matches the Rfam family "Bacterial small subunit ribosomal RNA", at positions 524 to 776 of the family's 1533-position model. Lineage: Bacteria; Deltaproteobacteria. The record is from RNAcentral.
UACGGAGGGCGCAAGCGUUGUUCGGAAUCACUGGGCGUAAAGAGCGUGUAGGCGGCUUGGUAAGUCGGGUGUGAAAGCCCGGGGCCCAACCCCGGAAUGUCAUCCGAAACUGCCUCGCUCGAGUCCCGGAGAGGGUGGCGGAAUUUCCGGUGUAGAGGUGAAAUUCGUAGAUAUCGGAAGGAACACCAGUGGCGAAGGCGGCCACCUGGACGGUGACUGACGCUGAGACGCGAAAGCGUGGGGAGCAAACAGG